This 366-nucleotide ribosomal RNA is filed under the name uncultured Anaplasma sp. RNAcentral's name for it is "bacterial SSU rRNA". It matches the Rfam family "Bacterial small subunit ribosomal RNA", at positions 81 to 484 of the family's 1533-position model. Lineage: Bacteria; Pseudomonadati; Pseudomonadota; Alphaproteobacteria; Rickettsiales; Anaplasmataceae. The record is from RNAcentral.
CAAUGGCAUCUGAACUGUCCACGGGUGAGUAUGCAUAGGAAUCUACCUAGUAGUAUAGGAUAGCCACUAGAAAUGGUGGGUAAUACUGUAUAAUCCCUGCGGGGGAAAGAUUUAUCGCUACAUGAUGAGCCUAUGUUAGAUUAGCUAGUUGGUGGGGUAAUGGCCUACCAAGGCAGUGAUCUAUAGCUGGUCUGAGAGGAUGAUCAGCCACACUGGAACUGAGACACGGUCCAGACUCCUACGGGAGGCAGCAGUGGGGAAUAUUGGACAAUGGGCGCAAGCCUGAUCCAGCUAUGCCGCGUGAGUGAGGAAGGCCUUAGGGUUGUAAAACUCUUUCAGUAGGGAAGAUAAUGACGGUACCUAUAA